CUUCUGCAGCGGCUGCCCGGUGCCUUCCCUCAGGUGGCAGGCUGCUGGUAUCCUGCUGGCAAAGGCUGAGGAAACCUGUUUCUCUGUAGCUGUGCCAGCAGAGCACAGUGUCCGACCUGUGGAGUCUGCCGGUCUGACAGCUAGAAAGUCGCGUGGAGCCGUCAGAAAGCUACUCACUGGAUUAAAAACCCACCCCUUCUACGUGCUGGAAACACCCUCUCAGGAGCCGGUGGCCUGCAGAGCGUCGUCCUGGGGCCGGGACCCACGCCCCCACCUGUCGGGCCCCUUGCUAGGGUUCAGCUCCCGUAAGGCUUCUGACAGCUGCCCGGGCACGGUGAGGGAGCAGAGGGAGUGGAAGAGGCCUGUCCUCCCCUGCGGUGCGUCCCCCUCGGUGCACAGACCCCAGAGCGCCCCCCCCUUCCCCCCCCCCCGGCGGCUGGAAGAGUUAGUUUGCCGCCUUCUGGAAUGGAUCUGUAGGUGACUAUCACCUUUUCCUUGUCAGCUUUUAAAAUGAUCAUUUUGUGUAUAAUAGAACUUUUUAGAAUCUUC
This is a long non-coding RNA of Acinonyx jubatus (cheetah), 549 nucleotides long. RefSeq lists it as uncharacterized. The transcript has 2 exons. Lineage: Eukaryota; Metazoa; Chordata; Mammalia; Carnivora; Felidae. The record is from RefSeq and is a predicted model, not a curated record.